RNAcentral lists this transfer RNA (91 nucleotides) under Peniophora sp. CONT. It matches the Rfam family "tRNA". Rfam says of the family: Transfer RNA (tRNA) molecules are approximately 80 nucleotides in length. Their secondary structure includes four short double-helical elements and three loops (D, anti-codon, and T loops). Further hydrogen bonds mediate the characteristic L-shaped molecular structure. tRNAs have two regions of fundamental functional importance: the anti-codon, which is responsible for specific mRNA codon recognition, and the 3' end, to which the tRNAs corresponding amino acid is attached (by aminoacyl-tRNA synthetases). tRNAs cope with the degeneracy of the genetic code in two manners: having more than one tRNA (with a specific anti-codon) for a particular amino acid; and 'wobble' base-pairing, i.e. permitting non-standard base-pairing at the 3rd anti-codon position. Lineage: Eukaryota; Fungi; Basidiomycota; Agaricomycetes; Russulales; Peniophoraceae. The record is from Rfam by way of RNAcentral.
GGCGACAUGGCCGAGCGGUCUAAGGCGCUAGAAUCAGGUUUCAUACCUCAUCUAGUCCGAAAGGGCGCGAGUUCGAAUCUCGCUGUCGUCA